GGAUCCAGACUUUGAUCCUGGCUCAUGACGAACGCUGGCGGCGCGCCUAACACAUGCAAGUCGAACGGAGAUUACAGGCGGAAGUUUUCGGAUGGAAGCUUGUAAACUUAGUGGCGGACGGGUGAGUAACACGUGAGCAACCUGCCUAUCAGAGGGGGAUAACGAUUGGAAACGAUCGCUAAUACCGCAUGACAUAGCGGAACCGCAUGGUUUUGCUAUCAAAGAUUUUAUCGCUGAUAGAUGGGCUCGCGUCCGAUUAGAUAGUUGGUGGGGUAACGGCCUACCAAGUCGACGAUCGGUAGCCGGACUGAGAGGUCGAACGGCCACAUUGGGACUGAGACACGGCCCAGACUCCUACGGGAGGCAGCAGUGGGGGAUAUUGCACAAUGGGGGAAACCCUGAUGCAGCGACGCCGCGUGAGGGAAGACGGUCCUCUGGAUUGUAAACCUCUGUCUUCGGGGACGAAACGAGACGGUACCCGAGGAGGAAGCCACGGCUAACUACGUGCCAGCAGCCGCGGUAAUACGUAGGUGGCAAGCGUUGUCCGGAAUUACUGGGUGUAAAGGGAGCGUAGGCGGGCAGGCAAGUCAGGCGUGAAAUAUAUCGGCUCAACCGGUAACGGCGCUUGAAACUGCAGGUCUUGAGUGAAGUAGAGGUUGGCGGAAUUCCUAGUGUAGCGGUGAAAUGCGUAGAUAUUAG
RNAcentral lists this ribosomal RNA (699 nucleotides) under uncultured Bacillota bacterium. RNAcentral describes it as "bacterial SSU rRNA". It matches the Rfam family "Bacterial small subunit ribosomal RNA", at positions 1 to 700 of the family's 1533-position model. The record is from RNAcentral. Lineage: Bacteria; Bacillati; Bacillota.